This 22-nucleotide microRNA is filed under the name Macaca fascicularis (crab-eating macaque). Its description in RNAcentral is "novel_miR7-3p". Lineage: Eukaryota; Metazoa; Chordata; Mammalia; Primates; Cercopithecidae. The record is from RNAcentral.
CAAAAACUGCGGUUAAUUUUGC